UACGUAGGGUGCGAGCGUUGUCCGGAAUUAUUGGGCGUAAAGAGCUCGUAGGCGGUCUGUCGCGUCGAUCGUGAAAACUUGGGGCUUAACCCUGAGCUUGCGGUCGAUACGGGCAUGACUGGAGUUCGGCAGGGGAGACUGGAAUUCCUGGUGUAGCGGUGAAAUGCGCAGAUAUCAGGAGGAACACCGAUGGCGAAGGCAGGUCUCUGGGCCGAUACUGACGCUGAGGAGCGAAAGCGUGGGGAGCGAACAGG
This 254-nucleotide ribosomal RNA is filed under the name uncultured bacterium. RNAcentral describes it as "partial 16S ribosomal RNA". It matches the Rfam family "Bacterial small subunit ribosomal RNA", at positions 524 to 776 of the family's 1533-position model. The record is from RNAcentral.